UUUGGCCUGCCCAAUGAUUUAUAUUUAAUGGCCGCGGUAUUUUGACCGUGCGAAGGUAGCAUAAUCAUUAGUCUAUUUAUUGUGGAAUAGUAUGAAUGGUUUGACGAAGUAUUAACUGUCUCAUUUUAAUAAUUAAAAUUUAAUUUUUUAGUUAAAAAGCUUAAAUUUUGUUAAAGGACGAGAAGACCCUAUAGAUCUUUAUUUUAUUAUUAUUAUUAUUUUUUUAGUUUAAAUUUUUUAUAUUUAUAUUUAUUAUUUUGUUGGGGUGACUUUUGGAUAUAAUUAACUCCUUUUUUUUUUUUCAUUUUUUUUUGUUUACUUGAUCUUUUAUUAUUGCUUAUAAGAAUAAGAUACCUUAGGGAUAACAGCGUAAUUCUUCUUAAGAGUUCAUAUUGACAGUGGAGUUUGCGACCUCGAUGUUGAAUUAAGAUUAUUUUUAGGUGAAGUGGCUUAAUUAUUAAGUCUGUUCGACUUUUAAUAUCUUACAUGAUCUGAGUUCAAAACCGGGGAG
Molecule: ribosomal RNA, 511 nt
Filed under: Cryptophyllium nuichuaense
Lineage: Eukaryota; Metazoa; Arthropoda; Insecta; Phasmatodea; Phylliidae
Description: partial large subunit ribosomal RNA
Rfam family: Bacterial large subunit ribosomal RNA (bases 361-511)
Source: RNAcentral